Molecule: ribosomal RNA, 468 nt
Filed under: uncultured bacterium
Lineage: Bacteria
Description: partial 16S ribosomal RNA
Rfam family: Bacterial small subunit ribosomal RNA
Source: RNAcentral
GACGAACGCUGGCGGCGUGCUUAACACAUGCAAGUCGAACGGAAAGGCCCUGCUUUUGUGGGGUGCUCGAGUGGCGAACGGGUGAGUAACACGUGAGUAACCUGCCCUUGACUUUGGGAUAACUUCAGGAAACUGGGGCUAAUACCGGAUAGGAGCUCCUGCUGCAUGGUGGGGGUUGGAAAGUUUCGGCGGUUGGGGAUGGACUCGCGGCUUAUCAGCUUGUUGGUGGGGUAGUGGCUUACCAAGGCUUUGACGGGUAGCCGGCCUGAGAGGGUGACCGGCCACAUUGGGACUGAGAUACGGCCCAGACUCCUAAGGGAGGCAGCAGUGGGGAAUAUUGCAGAAUGGGCGGAAGCCUGAUGCAGCAACGCCGCGUGCGGGAUGACGGCCUUCGGGUUGUAAACCGCUUUCGCCUGUGACGAAGCGUGAGUGACGGUAAUGGGUAAAGAAGCACCGGCUAACUACGUG